Perca fluviatilis (European perch) is the source of this 669-nucleotide non-coding RNA. The record is from the annotation of a RefSeq genome assembly. Lineage: Eukaryota; Metazoa; Chordata; Actinopteri; Perciformes; Percidae.
AUGCCGAUGCGAGAUGCGGCCAGUAAUAAAUGCCCGUCUUGGCAAGUGGCGAUGUUGCUCGGCAUCUCGGGCAUCUCCUCAAAAAUCCUCCUCAUCAAAAACUUGACUCUGAUCUCUGUCCUCAUCUGGACUCUCCUCUGCUGCUGCUUCACAGAGUCUAGAGGUCAGGUCACAGUGACUCAGCCUGGAGCAGUGAGCUCUGCUCGGGGAGACUCCGUCUCCAUCAGCUGUAAGGUCAACCCAAACGUUCCUUUAGUGGGUUCAGGUUUGUAUAAAGGGAAAAACUAUUUCCACUGGUACCAACAGAGAGAUGGAGGAGCUCCUAAACUGAUCAUUUACUUGGUUAAUGUACGAGCAUCAGGGAUUCCAGGUCGUUUUUCAGGCAGUGGAUCAAACUCUGACUUCACUCUGACCAUCAGUGGAGUUGAGGCUGAAGAUGCAGCAGUUUAUUACUGUCAGAGUUAUUAUUGGAUCAACAGUCAGGAUGUGUACACAGUGAAAAAGCGUCGUACAAAAACCUCCCUCAGUCAGACUGUACUUACGGUCUGUCAGCCGUCCUCCCAGGGUCACGGAGGUCCCUUCCUUCUCAAGGACGCCCGCCUUGCCCUUCUUGGUCGCCGGACUGAGAGAGGGGGAUGCUCAGAGGCUCUGACCAGGCCGCGCGGAUAG